This 715-nucleotide ribosomal RNA is filed under the name Luteibacter rhizovicinus. Its description in RNAcentral is "partial 16S ribosomal RNA". It matches the Rfam family "Bacterial small subunit ribosomal RNA", at positions 28 to 849 of the family's 1533-position model. The record is from RNAcentral. Lineage: Bacteria; Pseudomonadati; Pseudomonadota; Gammaproteobacteria; Lysobacterales; Rhodanobacteraceae.
GACGAACGCUGGCGGCGUGCUUAACACAUGCAAGUCGAACGCUGAAGCCUAGCUUGCUGGGUGGAUGAGUGGCGAACGGGUGAGUAACACGUGAGUAACCUGCCCCCUUCUUUGGGAUAACGCCCGGAAACGGGUGCUAAUACUGGAUAUUCACUGAUCUUCGCAUGGGGGUUGGUGGAAGGUUUUUUCUGGUGGGGAUGGCUCGCGGCCUAUCAGUUGUGGUGGGUGAUGCUACAAGCUUACGGAGCGCGAAGUGACGUAAUGGAUGAAUCGGCACUCUGGAGACAUGGGAAUUACAGGGGGACUAAGAGGCCCCUGAGGGGAGUUCGGUGUACCUUUCUCGGUACCCACUAGUGGGGGGAGGGAAAAGCGGGCUAUUCUGCAGCACCCCGUAUAUCUUGGGGCCGACCUUUUCCCGAAAUUUUGGGGUUAAAGGCCUUUUACCGUUGGCCCCCCCCCCCCCAAAAACCCCUUGGGUUAAAUGGGGGGGGGGGGGGGGGCUACGCUAUAUUAUUGGGGGGGGGGGGGAAAAAAGAAAAUCCCCGGGGUGUGGGGGAAAAAUCCCCAAAUUCCCAAAAAAAACCCCCCGGUGAAAAAGGGUUUCUCUGGGUCUUUUUUUUUAUUUAAAGAACAAAACGGGUAGGGAAAAAAAAAAUAUAAUACCCCCGUGGUUGCAGGGGGUUUUUUGGGGGGGUAUCGGGCUGUUAUCCCCUGU